UCCCUACAAUGCGCGCAUACUUUAGGUUGAUUCUUAUGUGUUAAUGAAUUUCAGACUUAAGUAUGAUGUUGUGUUUGCAUAUAGUUCGGGCAACCGAACGGGAGUAACCUCUUGUUACUCUUCUUACUUCCUGUAUAUUAUUUUAAACCUUUUGGUUAAACGUCACAUUUUCACGAAUGUGGCGUUUUUUUUC
Haemophilus pittmaniae HK 85 is the source of this 193-nucleotide non-coding RNA. NCBI's taxonomy places the organism in Bacteria, Pseudomonadati, Pseudomonadota, Gammaproteobacteria, Pasteurellales, Pasteurellaceae. The record is from Rfam.